CCUACGGGAGGCAGCAGUGGGGAAUCUUGCACAAUGGAGGAAACUCUGAUGCAGCGAUGCCGCGUGAGUGAAGAAGGCCUUUGGGUUGUAAAGCUCUUUUGUAGGGGAAGAUAAUGACUGUACCCUAAGAAUAAGGUCCGGCUAACUUCGUGCCAGCAGCCGCGGUAAUACGAAGGGACCUAGCGUAGUUCGGAAUUACUGGGCGUAAAGCGCGCGUAGGCCGUUGAGUUAGUUAAUUGUGAAAUCCCAAAGCUUAACUUUGGAACUGCAAUUAAAACUGCUCGACUAGAGUUUGAUAGAGGAAAGCGGAAUACAUAGUGUAGAGGUGAAAUUCGUAGAUAUUAUGUAGAACACCAGUUGCGAAGGCGGCUUUCUGGAUCAACACUGACGCUGAGGCGCGAAAGUAUGGGUAGCAAAGAGGAUUAGAUACCCUCGUAGUCCAUACCAUAAACGAUGAUUGCUAGAUGUUGGAAAUUUUAUUUUCAGUAUCGCAGCUAACGCAUUAAGCAAUCCGCCUGGGGAGUACGACCGCAAGGUUAAAACUCAAAAUGAAUUGACGG
Molecule: ribosomal RNA, 560 nt
Filed under: uncultured bacterium
Lineage: Bacteria
Description: bacterial SSU rRNA
Rfam family: Bacterial small subunit ribosomal RNA
Source: RNAcentral